Heterocephalus glaber (naked mole-rat) is the source of this 7691-nucleotide non-coding RNA. The record is from RefSeq and is a predicted model, not a curated record. Lineage: Eukaryota; Metazoa; Chordata; Mammalia; Rodentia; Bathyergidae.
GAUUUGCAAAUAUUUUCUCCCAAGUCUGUGGCUUUUGUUUUCAUUCUCUAGAUAAUGUCUUUUGACAAGCAGAAACUCUUAAUUUUGAUGAAGUCCAAUUUAUCAACUUUUUUGUUUAUGGUCAUUGUUUUAUUGUUACAAUUUGCAUAACCUGUGAUCACAAAGAUUUUCUGCUCUGUUUUCCUUAAGAAAUUUUUUUUCUAAAGAGAUACCACAUAUCCAUUUUCCUUGUGAAAUGUUCCAAUUUGUAAUAUUAAAAUAUAACCUGUCUAGGACUGGAAGAUGGCUAUCAGUUUUCAUACAUUAGUUUAUAUUAUGUGUAGUAUAAUAUUUGGCCAUAGCUGGCCAUUUUGAUCUAUAAAACAACUGUUUCAUAUGUUUCAACCUCAUGCCCUUUGUAGGUUAUUAAAUUAUAGGCAAUCAAUUGAAUCACAGAUAUCUGCAUAUAUAGUGGCAAGCCUUCAUCUGUUUUUUGUUUUUUUUCUAUUUGGGUCCCAUGAGUUUGCUAAAUAAUGAGAAAACCAAGGCCUAAUGAAGUGAAACAUCUAGUUUGAAGACAUUCAUCACGACUCCUUUUCACUGUAUGGAUUAUGAAGCUCAAAGGUCACCUGGCUCUGUACUUUCUAAACCCAGAACUCCACAAAACUUACUUGAAAUUCAUAUUUUAAAACAUAUGUUUAACUGUUCCAACAUUAUAAUAAGUUGUUAUAGUUUGGAUCAUGAACAUUUAAACACUUUGUUCCCUUGGGUGGUGCUAUUGGAAGGAGGUAGGCCGUCAGGAGGUGAUGCUUAGUGGAAGGUCUCAGGUCACUGGUGUAUGCCAUUGAAGGGACUUAUGGGAGCCUGAUCCCUUCCUCUUUCUCUUUGCUUCCUGGAUUGUGAUGUGAGCAGUUUUGUCCACCAUGUGCUCCCAUUAUGACAUGCUGCCUUGCCACAAACCUAAGAUAUAGGAUUAUGGCCUGGAACUCCCCAAAACUGUGAGCUAAAUAAACCUUUUCUCCUUAUAAGUUAAUUAUCUGAAGUAUUUCAUUAUAGUGGUGGAAAGCUGACUCACAUGGAAAAUAUUAUAAGAGAUGUUGGCCAGCCCAUCCUCUGCACCUUGGGGCAGUGUCUGUGUCUCAUGCCUCCUGAUGUGGCCAUGGAGGGAGUGGCUGCUCCAGGACCAGCUGAAGGCUUGCGGAGAGGGUGAAAGAAAUUACUGUUACCUGUACCCAACCAAAGUCUGAAAAUAUUACAGAGAAAAUUCCAGAAAUAAAUACCUCGUAAGUUUAAAAUUUCACACUCUCCUGAGGAAUAUGGUGAAAUCUUGCAGAAUUCUGCUCCAUCCUGUUUGAAAUGUGAGUCAUCCUUUCAUCUGGUGUAUGUACCCUGCACACGCCAUCCACCCGUAGUCACUUAGUAGCUGUCUUGGCUACCAGAUCAACUUUUGCAAUAUUGUAAUGUUUGUUCAAAUGAUGCUUAUUUUACUUAAUAAUGGCCUCAAAGCACAAGAUUAGCAAUGCUGGCAAUUUUAUUACAGUAUAUUGUUAUAAUUGUUCUAUUUUAGUAUUAGUUAUUGUUCUUUAAUCUCCUACUGUGCCUAAUUUACAAAUUAAACCUAAGUAUUUGCAUAUAUUUAUGGAAGUAUUUUCAUAAAUAUGAAAAAAACAUAGUAUAUAUAGGGUUUGCUACUCUCUGAGGUUUCAGGCAUCUGCUGGGGUCCUAGAACAUGUUCCUGUGAAUAAGGGCAGAAUACUGCAUCAUAGGAAAUUUGUUGCCUUAUGGAAUGAAAAAAGCCACAGGUAGGAAUUCUUCUAGGUAUGGCUUGGGAAAGGUUCAGUUGCAGUCCCUACAAUUCUAUUUUUCUUUAUCUCACAUAUCUCUUCAUCUUGGGUUGGCUUCAUCUGCAGUUCGUGUGAGAUGGCCAUGGCAGCUGCAGUUCCUGCCUCCCAGUCCCCAAGUUUUGGUGCCCUAGGGAAGAGGGACUGCUAGUCUUGGAAGGUCUCACUGCCCUGCCUUGUCUCUGUCCAGCCAAUCACAGGGUGACCAUUGGUACUGAUUGGAUUGGGCUUCAUCCAAAUUAUGGACAGCAAUGGGGAAGAGUGGGCUCCCAAAGGAAACUCUGGGUGCUGUUUUACCAGAUGGAUGAUGCUCCCCACUGUAUCCUGGGGAGCACUGGGUGAGAUAGGGCCUGGAUUCUGUUUCUGGAUCUGUUGCUGCUUUGCUGUGUGGCACUGAGCAGCUUACUUGUUAACUUCUCUGAGCUCCACUGUAAAAUGAGGGGGUGGGAUUGGAUACUCUCUGAGGGACCUUCCAGUUCCCACAACCUAGCCACUUGGAGGCUUUUCCCAUCUGUUUAGUCCAUCUGUUUUUUUGUGGCUGCAGACACUAGUAGUAAAAAUCCUUAGAAAACCCAAUGGGUUUUCUGCAGGGAAAGUUGUGUAGAGGAGAGCUAUGUUUGCAUCAGGGAUAGAGUGGCACUAAAGAGGCUUUGUUUUCCACAUGAAGUGCUGGGGGGUGGCCAGUCCUGGAUCCUAGGAGAAUUUGGGGCCUGGGCAAAAGGUCAUGGAUGAAGGGUCACUCUGUGCUUGGUGUCAAGCUUAGUAUAUGGCGAUGGUUUGGGGUGGCAUGUGAAUUAGAGAUUACUGGAUGGCUGAGCUUAAGACCUAGUCUGCAUCUGGGUUGGGGAUGGAAUCAGAAAUUUGUCAGCACUAGACAGGGCAGGUCUAUAGGUGACUCAGCUGUUGUAUGAAAGUGGCUUUGGCCAUAUGUGAUCUCUCAAGCACUUACUGUCAUUUAAUAUCUUAUACAUUUUAUUUAUUCCUUUGUUUUUUGUCUGUCCCCUUUAAGUAGAAUGUCAACUCCAUGAAGGCACAGACUGUUCUCCAUGGUCCAUAGAAAGCUCUUAGAUCAGUGCUUGGCACCUUGUAGGUGCCCAAUAAGUUGUGGUGGGGUGACUAAGUGAGUGAGGCAGAGGUGCAUGGAUCUAGGGGUAGUCAGUGCUGUGCACAUUCCACUAGAAGUUCCCCAACUCUGCUGGACUUUAGAACCACCUGGAGAGCUCCUAAAAAUACCAAUGCUCAUGAUGCACCCUGCACCGAUUGAAUCAGAAUACUGGGGGUCUGCAGCCAAGAAUCAUAAUUUUUAAGAGGAUUCUCCUAGGUUAUUCCACUAUACUGCAAAAUGUGAGAGCCACUCAGAUGUGCAGGGGGUCACAUUCUGCAGGAGGACAUGCAUACAUAGUGGCCCACACACAUCCAGGAUAAAGGAGCCGAACCAGAGCUGGCGCUGUAAUGCGGCUCAGGUUCUGGGUGGUAGGAUGGAGACUUUUGUCCUAGAUCUCUAUCACAUUCUCUGGACACCCGCCACAGAGGUGAUUACUUUGCUAUCACAGAAAGGAUUUUGGCUGCAAGUCAAGAAGAGCUCUUGCUUUCCAGUUAAACGAUGGCAAAUCAAUUUGAGGUUUCCGCUGGAGCUGCUGAUUAGGGCUGGCAGCUAGGGAGCCUCUGGCUGUUGGAGUCAAGGCAAGCCUUGGCUAAACCUUUGGGAGGAAGAAGCAGGCAGAAGCUGCAGGCCAGCUUUGGGAUACAACAGCCCAGACUUCUCUUGGAGUGCAGGGAAAGCCUUAAGGAGUUGCUGUCCAAAUGGGAAGUUGCAAUUUCCAUUUAUUUAGACCAGUAGUAUUAAUUGUCUUAGUUGUCAUUGGUUAAAAACUUGUAUGUGCCCAGCAUUUUAAUAAUUUGUUGCAGUUUCUGAGCAUUGUAAGUCUUGCCCCUUUUUAUGGAGCUUCAGAGAGAUGAAAUAAAAUGCUCCAGGUCAAAUGGCUUCAAAGUUUCAAGCCAGGCUUGAAACAAGGUCUGUCUGGUAAAAAUCCAAAUGUUUUCUCUUGGUGCCCUGCUGUGUGUUGGUUUGCAUGCCAGACUCUUAGCUCCCAUGAGCAUGUCAAGCUCAAGUCUGAAAGGCAAUGCUUAGCCCUGUAGAUAACCACUGGGGAGAGUUUGCUGAAGGCAGAAAGGGAUAAGGAAAUAUUUGCUGAGUGGAUGGGUAAAUGAAAGAGUGUUUACUGACUUGGUCCUGAAGAAAGAGCUGCAAGUGGCUUGAGGUCUGUACUGUUUUGUGGGAAGUAGGUAGCCUCCAAGAGGAGCUAGUGCCCAGUGAGCUCCUCUUCGGAGAGUCGUGCUUCGUGCAGUAUCUUCCACUCUGAAUUAGAGCUGGUCUGAGUGAUCCACAGAAUAUUUCAGAAGCGAUGACUUGUGGCUUCCAAAACUAGGUCCACAAGUGACAUUGCAGCUUUCACCUUGAUCUCCUGGACAGCCCACUCUGCAGAGGCUAGUUGUCAUAUUGGGAGGACAUUCAACAAGUUCUACAAAGAGGCUUCCCCAGGAAGGAUGUCUCCUGCCAACAACCAGCGCUAACUGCUAGAAAUGUGACUGAGCCACCUCAGAAGUGCAAUAUCCAGCCCAAUUGAACCUGCAGAUGAGACUGCUGUCUGGCCACCAUCUUGCUAGUGACUUCAUGAUGGAUCCCAAUCUAGAACUACACAUUUAAUCCAUGUCAGAAACUGUGACCCACAAAAACAGUGAGAGAAAAUGAAAUAUUUACUGCUUGCAGCCACUAAGUUUUAGGGUAAUUUGUUAUGCAGUGACAGAUAACAGCUACACAUUGCUAAGUCUAUUUUGAGCUGAAGAUUCAAGAGAGCUUCCAGAAGGAGACAGUUAUUCCCUUCUGUCCCCUACUCUCUCUUGACCCUUACUUCUCAGCUUGUCUUGUGUUAUGGUGAAAAGACACAAGACAGAUUUGGUUUCAAAUCUAGGCUUCCCAAUUUACUCUUUGGAUGGCUGGAGGGCUUUUAUUAAAAUUAAUUCUUUUUAUCCAUGUCGUUUCUUCUCCUUCCUUUCUUUUCUUCCUAUUCUUAUUUUGCUUCACAAGAUAUACCAUUAUAAUAGCAAUAGUUAUUAAUUUAUAAAACUAUGACAUACCAGGCACUGAUUAGGGAUUUACAGAUAUUUGGUCUAGUUUCUUCAAUAAUCUUGAUAGUAAUGGUGGUGGGGUUAGACAUUAUUACACUAAUUUUUUUAAUAGAUAGUGAAACUAAGGUCCAGAACAGUUGAGUCACCUGCCCAAGAUCAAGUGGAAAGAAUGAGGAUUCAGAACCAGGUCUGAGUUGAAAGCCUCAUUCCCUUUAUAUUCUUCUUCUUCCAAGCCUCAGCUUCCUCACAUGUAAAACAGGAAUAAUACUGACCUUGUAGAUUGCUGUCAAGAUGAGAGGUGGUGCUUUUAAAGCAAUUAACUUUUGUGUAUGGCAUACAGCAGGUGGUUAGUGAAUGGAGCUCCCUCACCCUCCCUCUCCUUAUGUAUAUUAAUAUGGACUGCCUUAACCUUCAUACAGACAUGGCUAUGUCAAGUGCCUCUCACAAUGAGAGGAGCAGGGAGUUGAUGUGGCCAAGAGCUGCUGACCCCUGGGCCUUCUCCAGGUAGGGUAGAUGAUGUAGGUCUGGAGUCCAAGGAGAUAGUGACACCAGCUCUGAUGCCACCUACUGAGCCUGUACCAUUUGCUGGUUCUAUGUUUGGAGCUGUCUGAGCUCAUACAGAGAGGAAGGGGCGGUGUCUGCAUACCCAGUGCCUGUGGAGAGGCUGGGUGUGUAGAGAUGUCUCCAGCUAGAGGAUCCCGGCUGAGAAAACAUUGUCCUCAGGAGGUAUCGAAUCAUUUCUCAGAUCAGGCAAGAAACCCCAAUUAAUUACAAGUGCUAAGUAAGUGGUCUAGAAGCAGAGUUUUGCAGUCAAUUAGAGAGAUGCUGGAGGAGGCUUCAGUAACCCUCUGCCUCCUGGCAGCUUUCAGUUGAGUAAUGAGAGCUGUUUGGCUAGAAUGAGCUCCCUGACACUAUGGGGCACGCAAGUAAGAGAGCACCCUUACUAAAGACGGUACAGAAGGAAUUCCUGGAUUGUAUGGGAAGAUGGAUUUGACUUUAAAUCCCCUUCCCACUCCAGGUUUCUUGAUUUCCAGGUAUUUUGAUCUUGUAGUGAGCCAGUGGUCACGAUCUUGAUCCAUUUGGGGGCUAGCCCAUGCAGAGUGCUGUUUGGGCUUCUCCUGGUUGAGCCAGCAUGUAGCACAGAUGGCCCACUGCAUUCUCCCAAGAUACCUCACACCCAGGAGCCCCAAACUCAUGACAUUCCUCUCAAGCUGUCCCCCAUCCAAGUUCCAGGUCUUGGAGAGUGGUACCAUCCAAGGUGGAGAGGUAGGCAUUGGUCCAGACAUCUCUUUCCUCCAUGCUGCCCACAUCUAACCUUGCCAAUUUGUCUUCCUAUGACUCCCUCUAAUCUGCCUCCACCUCAUUCCAGUAGGGGACAGAGUGCUUUGGGACCCACCCAGUGGAAUGGAGAGGAAGUGGGAGCUGAUGAAAAGCAGCAAGGUGUCUUGGUUUGGGUUUUUACUGAGAAGAGAACUGAAUUUCAGGAGGACAGUAUUUGGAGUUCUGGGCAGGCAAUACAGAUGGACUCCCAUGGAACUCCAACAGCCCUAAUGUUUUCUUUCACUCCAGUCUUCAGUCUUGGAAGGCCUUCAGUCCUUGGGGGAACUCACCAUUGGCUACUUCCCCUGUACUGAGACACUUCCUCUACCACCUGGAACCCUAUGGCUGAAGAGGUUUGGAGCUCUAAUUCCUCUGAGGCUCUGCUCAACUCCAGCACUUUGUAGGCAAGAGAGACUUUUGGCUCAGUCUCUGUGGAGAGCAGCUUCUAGGACUCUCAAUGAUCCCUCAUCCUGGUAUUCACAGACUUUUGUAAUCCCUUCCUCAUAAAUGUGGGCAGGAUCUGUAAUAAAGGUGGUGGGACAUCACUUUUGUGGUUAGGUUACAUAACAUUGUGGCUUCCGUCUUGGUAGCAGGUUCUCUCUAUUGCCUUCUUGGCUUGCAUGCUGUAAUGAAGCAAGUUGCCAUGUUUUGAGCUGCCCCAGUGGAGGAACCCACAGGGCAAGGAACAGAAGACUGUCACCAGUUGGACAACCUGCAAGGAACUGAAGCCUCCAGUUCCUCCAAUUCAGUAGAACUGAAUUUGCCACUAACCACAUGAGCUUGGAAGUGAGCCUUGUAAUGAGACCCCAGCCCUGGCCUACACUUGACUGAAGCUUUAGGAGAGACCUUGAAGUAAGGGAUCCAACUGAGCUUGCGCCCAGAUUUCUGAUCCACAGAAACUGAGAUAAUAAAUAUAUGUUGCCUUAUAGAGGGCUCAAGUUAGGGAGACAUGUGCAGUGACUUAACUUACAAUAGAAUUUGAAAAGUGCCAUUCAUUGAAUGCUUAACACUCAGUGAUAAAUGUGUGCAUAUAGGACCCCAUUUAUUCCUCACAAUAAACUGGAGAGGUCACGGCAAUUAUCAUUUCACUUCACUUAACAAGCAAACACCCAUAGGCGUUAAGUGUCUUGCUCAAGCUCACUCUGCUGGGUGUCAGAGCCUCUCCGCACACCCAGGGCUGUUGGAGCAAUCAGCUGAGAUGCUCUAUGUUAGGUGGGUGCAGCAACAGACUAUGGUCUGGUCAAAUGACCAUAUCAGGGUGGGCCUCACAGAGGAGAUGACAUUGAGCUGAAUCUUGAGAAGUUUGGGGAGUGUGCCAAGGAGGAGGAAGGGUACCACCCAUUCCCAGGCAGAGGGGACGAGAUCUGUACAUAUGAUACAGCAUGGUAUGUGUGGGGAGUGGGGGCACUUGGAGCAACAAGG